Molecule: long non-coding RNA, 228 nt
Filed under: Nicotiana benthamiana
Lineage: Eukaryota; Viridiplantae; Streptophyta; Magnoliopsida; Solanales; Solanaceae
Description: long non-coding RNA (NBEN_LNC026172)
Source: RNAcentral
CCAAACCCUUCGCCUUUCUUUUGAAUCAAAGUAGGUCGCGACUGUUGUAUUUUAGUCGGUCGGGUGAAGCGGUAGCUUCGUGCUCCGCUUCUCUCGCGCUUGCUUGCGUGAAGGCUUAGAGCCCUUUUCGCUAGGCCCAAAAGCUUCCCAAAAGAUCUGAUCCAACAGAAAUCCCGCAUUGAGCGUAGCUGAUAUGCGGCUACGGCUAGCCGAUCAUAUCAUUCCAUA